CUACACAUGCACGUCGAGCGGGGUUUUCGGACCUAGCGGCGGACGGGUGAGUAAUGCGUAGGAAGCUGCCCGAUAGAGGGGGAUACCAGUUGGAAACGACUGUUAAUACCGCAUAAUGUCUACGGACCAAAGUGUGGGACCUUCGGGCCACAUGCUAUCGGAUGCGCCUACGUGGGAUUAGCUAGUUUUUUGAGGUAAUGGCUCACCAAGGCGACGAUCUCUAGCUGGUUUGAGAGGAUGAUCAGCCACACUGGAACUGAGACACGGUCCAGACUCCUACGGGAGGCACCAGUGGGGAAUAUUGGACAAUGGGCGCAAAGCCUGAUCCAGCCAUGCCCGCGUGCCGU
This 347-nucleotide ribosomal RNA is filed under the name Rheinheimera sp. E4IPC-4712. RNAcentral describes it as "bacterial SSU rRNA". It matches the Rfam family "Bacterial small subunit ribosomal RNA", at positions 49 to 398 of the family's 1533-position model. The record is from RNAcentral. Lineage: Bacteria; Pseudomonadati; Pseudomonadota; Gammaproteobacteria; Chromatiales; Chromatiaceae.